RNAcentral lists this long non-coding RNA (1475 nucleotides) under Podarcis muralis (Common wall lizard). RNAcentral's name for it is "lncRNA (ENSPMRG00000021495.1)". The record is from RNAcentral. Lineage: Eukaryota; Metazoa; Chordata; Lepidosauria; Squamata; Lacertidae.
AUGUGGUUUUUUCCACGCUGUCAAGAUGCGCCCAUGGUCAGGAUGCCGCCCCUUUGGAUUUCGCUGUUUCAGCGCAAGAAAGGUCGAGGCUGCGGCGGGGAGAGGGGCGUCGUCCUCUUCCCCCCAAAGUUCUUUCUUAUUCCUCUAUCCUUUUCCCAAACCGCCUCUCGCCCCCACUGGUUUCGUAAACGAUUUAAAGGAACAACAAGAAACAAGGUUGGAGGGUUCUGUAUAACCGAAAACGAGUUUGCAAGACAGAAGUGAGCAGGGACUGGGGGGAGGGGGACUCCCAGCGUUGUUCCAUAAAUACAAAACAAACACAAUAAAAAGGUGAGCGAUCCUGGACUGCGAUUGACUUUAAAUACUUGUUAUCUAGAGUGAAAACAAUUCCCGUCCGUGGGCGUUUGUGUACUAUAAACGCCUCGCCCGGAGGGAGGCAGGAUCCGAGGAAGCAGCAACAGCCACGGAUGAUGUGAUCAACCUCCGAUUCGGACUGGACAGUUUUCUUUCCGGAUAAAGCAUGAAUUGGGGGCGGGGGUAAGGUUGCGGGAUCCGUUCCGGCUACCGAACCGACCCUCCGAUUCGUCUUUAAAAUGCCUGAAAGCAGCGAGCUUUCGGGUUGCACAGAAGUCCUUGUCAGGCCGAAGAAGGGCUCGAGACUGAAGUAGAAAAUCCCUCACACAUCUCUAGUAAGUCCUGGAAGGCUGUACGCGCUUUCACGCUACCUCCACAAUAUCCACCCUGCUUCCUCUUGAUUCCGCAGAGAGAGCCAAGUUAUUUCAAAUCCAUCAAUCAGUCAGAAACUGGGAUUUACGGAGAUCGCGACAGAGCAACUGCAAUACUUUCUGGGGAAAUCAGCGGGACGCGUCCGGGGUAGCCAAUGUCUGUGUGAGCGCUCGCGCGUGUGUGAACGUGCGUUUUAGACUCACAGGGUCAAAUGCUCUAGGAGCAAAAAGAGAAAGAAAGAGGAGGAAUGCUUUUGAUCCUGAAUAAGAGGGGAAACCGUUCCCAAUCGAAGCUCUGAAAACGACUCAGCGUCCUCUGGAAACUAUCUUUCAAAAUCGUUUCCGCACCCCUAAUUUCUACUAGCAGGGAAUAAACCCCAAUCCGAAUUUAAGAGGGGUUACUUUUGCCCUCACCCCCCUGGGCCAGUCUUCCGGAGAAAGAGGGAAGGGUCCAUUGCGAUCCUGAACGAGGCCUGCUGUGAGCGCAGCGCUAUCGGUUCCACGGAGUCCCGACGCAGUUAGCAAGCCUGACACGCAAAUCCCUGUUCAGACGUGGAACGGAACCAAGGGGUAAAAACUGGGCUGCUCCAUUUCAGAGUGCUGGAUCCCGCUUAUACAAACCAGAUUGCAGGGCAGAUGGGUAUCCAAACUCCUUUCCCGUGAAACACCUGAGGGUUUUCGGUGAAAAAAACAUGCCAAAAGCAUCGGCUUAUAUUUGCACCUUCAGCCUGAAGCGAAAUAGUCCCGGAA